GACGAACGCUGGCGGCGUGCUUAACACAUGCAAGUCGAACGGAAAGGCCCUGCUUUUGUGGGGUGCUCGAGUGGCGAACGGGUGAGUAACACGUGAGUAACCUGCCCUUGACUUUGGUAUAACUUCAGGAAACUGGGGCUAAUACCGGAUAGGAGCUCCUGCUGCAUGGUGGGGGUUGGAAAGUUUCGGCGGUUGGGGAUGGACUCGCGGCUUAUCAGCUUGUUGGUGGGGUAGUGGCUGACCAAGGCUUUGACGGGUAGCCGGCAUGAGAGGGUGACCGGCCACAUUGGGACUGAGAUACGGCGCAGACUCCUACGGGAGGCAGAAGUGGGGAAUAUUGCACAAUGGGCGGAAGCCUGAUGCAGCAACGCCGCGUGCGGGAUGACGGCCUGCGGGUUGUAAAACGCUUUCGCCUGUGACGAAGCGGGAGUGACGGUAAUGGGUAAAGAAGCACCGGCUAACUACGUG
This 468-nucleotide ribosomal RNA is filed under the name uncultured bacterium. RNAcentral's name for it is "partial 16S ribosomal RNA". It matches the Rfam family "Bacterial small subunit ribosomal RNA", at positions 28 to 507 of the family's 1533-position model. The record is from RNAcentral.